RNAcentral lists this long non-coding RNA (430 nucleotides) under Anas platyrhynchos platyrhynchos (common mallard). RNAcentral's name for it is "lncRNA (ENSAPLG00000029744.1)". Lineage: Eukaryota; Metazoa; Chordata; Aves; Anseriformes; Anatidae. The record is from RNAcentral.
ACAAUUCCUCAGAUUCAUACAUAAAAGCAGAGAGGUAACACAAUGGUUUUACAGCAUCAAAGUAGCAUGCCCUGCUCAGCUCCCUGAGGCAUCGCGAUGUGCUGAGGCUGCAUGGAGGAGGCUGGAAGGUGCCCCUGUUACCUGGGCAAUUUGUGAGCUUCGUGUUACAAAGUGAUGUGCCCUGGACUUUCAGCAUGUGUUUGAGGGGAAGGAGAGUCUCACACAAAUCAGUAAGCAUACUUUAUGACAAAAGUUCACUGUGCUUUUGGAACCUAUGCUUUGCUACUUCCUCUGUCUGAGUGCUUCAAGCACCUUCAAGUUUUGGGUGAAUGCUAAAAUUAAUUAAAGAUAGUUUAAGAUCUUGAUGAUAUACUUCUAGAAUGAGGUACAUCGGAAUUGAUCUUUGCAUGAGCUUUCCACUAGAAUGGGG